GGAAUUGUUCACAAUGGGCGCAAGCCUGAUGACGCAACGCCGCGUGGAGGAUGAAGGUCUUCGGAUUGUAAACUCCUGUUGCUCGGGACGAAAUGCUCCAACCCAAUACGUUGGAGUUUGACGGUACCGAGUGAGGAGACCCCGGCUAACUCUGUGCCAGCAGCCGCGGUAAUACAGAGGGGGCAAGCGUUGUUCGGAAUUACUGGGCGUAAAGGGCGCGUAGGCGGCCUGUUAAGUCGAACGUGAAAUCCCCGGGCUCAACCCGGGAACUGCGUCCGAAACUGGCAGGCUUGAAUCCGGGAGAGGGAUGUGGAAUUCCAGGUGUAGCGGUGAAAUGCGUAGAUAUCUGGAGGAACAUCGGUGGCGAAGGCGACAUCCUGGACCGGUAUUGACGCUGAGGCGCGAAAGCCAGGGGAGCAAAC
RNAcentral lists this ribosomal RNA (422 nucleotides) under uncultured bacterium. Its description in RNAcentral is "bacterial SSU rRNA". It matches the Rfam family "Bacterial small subunit ribosomal RNA", at positions 358 to 773 of the family's 1533-position model. The record is from RNAcentral.